GUCUUAAUAUCUAUUUAGUAUUUAACAUCUUUGGUUGUUUAAAAAGGAAAAUAGUAAAUAUAUUUUAAUAUUUAUCAUGGUCCAUGGUAGACUUAUAUUUGGAAAAUAUUUAAAAUGCUAAUGAUUAGUGUAACACCCCGUUUUUUAAAGCGAGGGUGUAUUUUUUUUUCAAAAGAAAUUAAACUAAAACAGAGAAAUAAAUAAGGAAAUGCCUUUGGAUAAAUAAUUGAAUCAUUAUCAUUUACAAGCAGCGGAAAAGUUUCUCCAAAUAUAAAUCUAAAGCAUUUACACAACAACAAAUGGUACAUGGAACCCAUUAAAAUAAGAUGUCAAACUGACAAUAUUAGUAUAAGUACAGUUUUCCAAAUUAAAAUACUCCAACCCAAAAAGAAGGACGUCUAGUCCCUAUACAUCAACCUAAUCUGAUCAUCCUACCAAAAACCUAUACACCCUGAGUGAUCUCCACGCGCCCGUGAGGUCCUCCUAACGUAGCUCCAGUCAAGCAUUCCCAUCCGUAGGGUAUAAAAUAGUAGGGUCGUCCUGACUCUCAUCUGAGGGCAAAACCCAGAUUGCCACAAUAGUUGUAAAGGGUCACCAACCGAAAUUAACAGAUAACACAUAACAUUU
Molecule: long non-coding RNA, 627 nt
Filed under: Cicer arietinum (chickpea)
Lineage: Eukaryota; Viridiplantae; Streptophyta; Magnoliopsida; Fabales; Fabaceae
Description: long non-coding RNA (CARI_LNC003760)
Source: RNAcentral